Xenopus laevis (African clawed frog) is the source of this 1192-nucleotide long non-coding RNA. RefSeq lists it as uncharacterized. Lineage: Eukaryota; Metazoa; Chordata; Amphibia; Anura; Pipidae. The transcript has 2 exons. The record is from RefSeq and is a predicted model, not a curated record.
GUGCGGCGAAGCGCAGCGAAGUUGUGCCUGGCGCAACUACGAAUCUUAGUGAAUUUGCCCCUAAGUUUGCAUAGGUGCAGUAACCAUAGAAACUAAUAAGAUGUUUGCAGGUAACAGAAGAAUGCUUCUUGUUCAUUGGUUGCGAUAACUAAUUGAGUCGGGGGCCCUGCUGCCAGAGGUGCUCCCCACCAGGACCCCCUCCAAACUUGCGGCCACUGCAUGCACCGCUGAAAAAUCCCCCCAUCCUGUAAGCACAAGAUAUGCUUAUUGUAGCUCCGACAUGCCCCAAGCGGGUGCGCUGGAUAUAGAUGGUUAGACCAGUAGUAAAUGUUGCACCUUUUAUUACCUAACUCCAUGCUCCAGUCUGCAACAUUUGUUCUUCCCAAUAGUUAAGCUUGCUAUACAUAUAAAUUUCGUUGCCUACAUAACAGAGGCCUAUGCAGGCCCAUCAGGAGACGAUGGUGUGGUCUGUGCCUGAUGGGAUUUUUAAACCUGCAUUUCCCCACUACCCAAACCUGCAUUAUCUAUGUAGGUUAUUCCGGAAAUUAUCCAAAAUACACAGCGUGUGUGUGAAUACUCUUUUUCGCAACCAUAAAUACAAAGCCAACUAUCUUGGGACUGUAAAAAAAAAAAAAAGAGAGAGCAAAAGAAAUAAUUCAUCACUGUGUUAGUCCUUAAUGUGUGAUUGAUUAUGCGAAAUGCGUGGAUGCUCUGCUCAGAGUUAUAAAACAGAUGUCUCUCGGCUAAACCCAGUUGAGGUUCCCAACUAAAAAAUCUCUUGUGAAAGAUUGAAGAGCUUUCUGUCCAGCUGAGAAAAACCAGGAUCCGUGUGAUGUAAGAACAUUCACAGUGUCGAAGACAAGAUCCAGCAUACACAUAUUUGGAAGAAAUGGCCAAAACAGCUGCACAGCCAAUGGGUCAGUCAUUCAUUCAAAUUAUAGCCUUACCUAAAAAGAAAGAAAGAAAGAAAUGUCAAAAGAAGAAAAAGCAGCAGGGCAAGGGUUAAAGAAAGGAGCAAGAACCCAACCAGAACAGCAAAACCCCAUCAGUCAAGCAAGCUAAGCUGAGUUUUUCUACGCUUGGAAAAAUCUAUUCAUCAACGUUAUCCAAAAAUAUGUGGUUUUCUGGCCAUGCGGUUACUGUGAGAUCAAUCUCAUUCAGCCGAUCAAUAAAACUCACUUUUCCAAUCUUA